UAGCAUAUCAAUAAGCGGAGGAAAAGAAACCAACAGGGAUUGCCCUAGUAACGGCGAGUGAAGCGGCAACAGCUCAAAUUUGAAAUCUGGCUCUUUUAGAGUCCGAGUUGUAAUUUGCAGAGGGCGCUUUGGCUUUGGCAGCGGUCCAAGUUCCUUGGAACAGGACGUCACAGAGGGUGAGAAUCCCGUACGUGGUCGCUGGCUAUUGCCGUGUAAAGCCCCUUCGACGAGUCGAGUUGUUUGGGAAUGCAGCUCUAAAUGGGAGGUACAUUUCUUCUAAAGCUAAAUAUUGGCCAGAGACCGAUAGCGCACAAGUAGAGUGAUCGAAAGAUGAAAAGCACUUUGGAAAGAGAGUCAAACAGCACGUGAAAUUGUUGAAAGGGAAGCGCUUGCAGCCAGACUUGCUUACAGUUGCUCAUCCGGGUUUCUACCCGGUGCACUCUUCUGUAGGCAGGCCAGCAUCAGUUUGGGCGGUAGGAUAAAGGUCUCUGUCACGUACCUCCUUUCGGGGAGGCCUUAUAGGGGAGACGACAUACUACCAGCCUGGACUGAGGUCCGCGCAUCUGCUAGGAUGCUGGCGUAAUGGCUGUAAGCGGCCCGUCUUGAAACACGGACCAAGGAGUCUAACAUCUAUGCGAGUGUUUGGGUGUCAAGCCCGAGCGCGUAAUGAAAGUGAACGGAGGUGGGAACCCGCAAGGGUGCACCAUCGACCGAUCCUGAUGUCUUCGGAAGGAUUUGAGUAAGAGCAUGGCUGUUGGGACCCGAAAGAUGGUGAACUAUGCUUGAAUAGGGUGAAGCCAGAGGAAACUCUGGUGGAGGCUCGCAGCGGUUCUGACGUGCAAAUCGAUCGUCAAAUUUGGGCAUAGGGGCGAAAGACUAAUCGAACUAUCUAGUAGCUGGUUCCUGCCGA
Molecule: ribosomal RNA, 910 nt
Filed under: Alternaria alternata
Lineage: Eukaryota; Fungi; Ascomycota; Dothideomycetes; Pleosporales; Pleosporaceae
Description: LSU rRNA
Rfam family: Eukaryotic large subunit ribosomal RNA
Source: RNAcentral